GACGAACGCUGGCGGCGUGCUUAACACAUGCAAGUCGAACGGAAAGGCCCUGCUUUUGUGGGGUGCUCGAGUGGCGAACGGGUGAGUAACACGUGAGUAACCUGCCCUUGACUUUGGGAUAACUUCAGGAAACUGGGGCUAAUACCGGAUAGGAGCUCCUGCUGCACGGUGGGGGUUGGAAAGUUUCGGCGGUUGGGGAUGGACUCGCGGGUUAUCAGCUUGUUGGUGGGGUAGUGGCUUACCAAGGCUUUGACGGGUAGCCGGCCUGAGAGGGUGACCGGCCACAUUGGGACUGAGGUACGGCCCAGACUCGUACGGGAGGCAGCAGUGGGGAAUAUUGCGCAAUGGGCGGAAGCCUGAUGCAGCAGCGCCGCGUGCGGAAUGACGGCCUACGAGUGGUAAACCGCUUUCGCCUGUGACGAGGCGUGAGUGACGGUAAUGGGUAAAGAAGCACCGGCUAACUACGUG
RNAcentral lists this ribosomal RNA (468 nucleotides) under uncultured bacterium. RNAcentral's name for it is "partial 16S ribosomal RNA". It matches the Rfam family "Bacterial small subunit ribosomal RNA", at positions 28 to 507 of the family's 1533-position model. The record is from RNAcentral.